Molecule: ribosomal RNA, 253 nt
Filed under: uncultured bacterium
Lineage: Bacteria
Description: partial 16S ribosomal RNA
Rfam family: Bacterial small subunit ribosomal RNA
Source: RNAcentral
UACGGAGGGUGCGAGCGUUGUCCGGAAUCAUUGGGCGUAAAGGGCGCGUAGGUGGUUCUGUAUGUCUACCGUGAAAGCGUACGGCUCAACCGUAUUUUGUCGGUGGAAACUGCAGGACUUGAGGCUGGGAGGGGCUGGUGGAAUUCCCUGUGUAGCGGUGAAAUGCGUAGAGAUGGGGGAGAACACUCGUGGCGAAGGCGGCCAGCUAGACCAGUUCUGACACUGAGGCGCGACAGCGUGGGGAGCAAACAGG